RNAcentral lists this long non-coding RNA (203 nucleotides) under Mytilus galloprovincialis (Mediterranean mussel). The record is from RNAcentral. Lineage: Eukaryota; Metazoa; Mollusca; Bivalvia; Mytilida; Mytilidae.
AGACACAAUAAAUAAAAUAGUCAAAAUAUGGGUACAGCAGUAAUCAUCGUGUAACAAUUUUAAAAGGAACAAUUUAACAGAACACAAAAACAUGUAUCUACAAACACAUUCAUUGAUUCGCGUGUCUGACGUCAGAAAAUGUUAUACGUCACAUGUAUUUGUCGUUCAAUGUACAUACAAACAAUUUUAAAAUUUCACAUAGG